AUGUUGGCUAAUGAAUAAGAAAGGACAACUGUAUGUUGAAUGUAAUAAUGCUGGUGUGAAGUUAGCGAGCACUCAAUGGGAUUUUAGAAAUAUUAUUAUAUAUAUAUAUUUUUUUUCUGGUUUAAGGAAUUAUUCCUGUAUGUCUUUUCGGUGCCAUUGUAGACAGGAAGUGUUCCCUGCUGGAAGAGACUGCUUGCUUUCUUUCUUUCUUUCUUUCUUUUGGGUGGAAAAAGAAAUCACACACUCGCUUAGAAUUGAUUAAAGUUGAGAUCCGCGCGCCAGUGGGUAUCGCCUUUCACCGAUUACGCAGAUGUCUUUUUUGUCAGGCUCUUUGAUACGCCGACGUGUUUCAAUUCUGUUACAUUUGCCGCACAACUAAGCGCGUUGUCUGUCGAGUUCUUCAGGGAUUGUCCAGCGCACUCUUUAACAGUACGAUCAGAUCCCCUCAAAGAAAACAAAAUCAUUUGCACUUUAGAGACGAAUAACGCCAUGAUACACAAACUGGGUUUUUGUUUGUUUGUUUCUGCGCCAUGUUCUCUUUACUUUGGCUUUAAAUAUGAGUAGCUCUGUGUUUUGUUUUUUUUGUUUUGUUUUGUUUUUUUUUCUUUAAAGUCUUAUUAAACUUCGAAUCCGAGAGAGAGGGGGGAUGUAUGAAGUGAAGAACAACGUGUUAUCGUGAAUCUAGCUCUUGUGUAAUGAGGUUUGAAUUCUGUUUGAGAACCUGGUAGCGUUACAACCAAUCCAGGUCAUGAGUUUAGAGACUGGCCCGACGCUCUGGUGCACCGCCGCUCUGGUCUCAUCUUAAAAUAAAAUUUAAAAAAAAUCAACUUUUUAGGGUCUAUAAAAAGGUUUCUGCUUGGAGUGGGGAUUCAGAUUGUUUGAAAUCAAAUCAGGACGUUUUGGCGAAGCUUUUGAAGCGUCCCCAAGCUCAUGCGCGAAUGAUCCCCCCCCCCCCCCCUUUUUAAAGAAAAAUAAAUAAAUAAAUAAAUAAAUAAAGAGAAGUGCUGAGCAAGCCCGUCAGACCAUGACAUUACCACUAACUCUUCACUUUUUUCAGCUUGAGGUUCAACACAAUAUAAUGAUAUACAUUGCACUAAGAUAAAAAUGCCUGAUGUGUGUGUGUAU
Long non-coding RNA from Ictalurus punctatus (channel catfish), 1125 nucleotides. NCBI's taxonomy places the organism in Eukaryota, Metazoa, Chordata, Actinopteri, Siluriformes, Ictaluridae. The record is from Ensembl.